GUUGUACCCAGCACCGCGGCGCGUGCCUGUAGUCCCAGCUACUUGGGAGACUGAGGUGGGAGGAUUGCUUGAGCCCAGGAAUUCUGGGCUGUAGUAUGCAAUGCCGAUCCGGUGCCCGCACGAAGUUCGGCAUCAAUAUGGUGACCUCCCGGGAUCGGGAGACCACCAGGUUGCCUAAGGAGGGGUGAAGCGGCCCAGGUCGGAAACGGAGCAGGUCAAAACUCCCGUGCUGAUCAGUAGGGAUCGCGCCUGUGAAUAGCCACUGCACUCCAGCUUGAGCAACAUAGCGAGACCCGGUGUCU
Molecule: signal recognition particle RNA, 302 nt
Filed under: Saimiri boliviensis boliviensis (Bolivian squirrel monkey)
Lineage: Eukaryota; Metazoa; Chordata; Mammalia; Primates; Cebidae
Description: Metazoan signal recognition particle RNA (ENSSBOG00000008639.1)
Rfam family: Metazoan signal recognition particle RNA
About the family: The signal recognition particle (SRP) is a universally conserved ribonucleoprotein.
Source: RNAcentral